AAGGAGUCUAACAUAUAUGCGAGUAUUUGGGUGGCAAACCCAUGUGCGCAAUGAAAGUGAACGUAAGUGGGAUCCCUUCCUCUGUGUUGGGUGCACCAUUGACCGAUCUGGAUAAUUUUUUGAUAGAUUUGAGUAUGAGCAUACAUGCUGGGACCCGAAAGAUGGUGAACUAUGCCUGAAUAGGGUGAAGCCAGAGGAAACUCUGGUGGAGGCUCGUAGCGAUUCUGACGUGCAAAUCGAUCGUCAAAUUUGGGUAUAGGGGCGAAAGACUAAUCGAACCAUCUAGUAGCUGGUUCCCUC
RNAcentral lists this small RNA (300 nucleotides) under uncultured fungus. Its description in RNAcentral is "eukaryotic LSU rRNA". It matches the Rfam family "Eukaryotic large subunit ribosomal RNA", at positions 668 to 961 of the family's 3401-position model. Lineage: Eukaryota; Fungi. The record is from RNAcentral.